GGGGGUUAGCGGGGGAUGGGAAGGGUGGGGGUCAUACUCCCAACAGAUCCAGACCCAGUGGGCAGUGGGAUGCCUCACACACAUGCGCUUGUGAGGAGGUGCCUCUUGAGCGACACUUCUCUGACACUGUUUGGGUCCCCACAGCCCCCUUUCCCAGUGUGUAUUCGUCUUUUCCUGAGUCUUCCGGCAGCCACCUUUGGAUCUCGGUAUGUUUCCACCUUUAUUUAUGAUGAUUAUUUUUGCGCUGCCAUCUCUGGAUGGUGACCCAUCUCCCCCCAGGGGAGGACGCGGAACUGGCCCCCCCAACAGAGCAUUCGGCCCCUCCUCCGUCUCCUGCACAGCGUUGCCCACAUGUCAUCACAGAGUUGAGCCUCCUGGGCUGGACCUGCGACUGAUUCCAAGAAUGACUAAAAAUCCAUGACGUCAGAGCACAGCAGCUCGGUGGGGGCCGCGGGGCUGCCUGUCCUUAGGGAGCCUCAGUGGGAGUCAGAGAGGCCCAGAGCCGGGAGCCUGUCGGCCACGAUCGGAGAUAAAAGAGGGGACAAGUCAAUACCGGUAGAGGCAGCACCUCGGUGGAAGGCGGUCCAGUUACAGUGUAACCGGACUAUCAGUUAUCUAGUGUAAAUGACUGGUUAUCAGAUCCUCCUGGUGGGGGUUCGGGAGGAGGGGAGGGCGAGAAGGCCCGAUCCUCAGCGCCGGAGUGGGGAAAGGAUAUAAGGGCCGGGGACCCCGAAAGGCCAGCUCAGUUCACAGCAGCAGGAGUAGGCUGGAGGUUCAGAAGUCUUGCCAGCCUCCCCGCACCCGCUCGCAGCUCUCUGGAGCCAGUGGGAGCAGCCCUGUUUACCUUUAGCUGGUCAAGGACACACAGAGUGGGCACUGAGGUGUCGAUCAUGCCUUUGUAAACACAGUGUCCCGGCUUGUAACGAAGAUUAGAUUUGGGGACGUGUUUCCUGCUGGUUUAAAAAAAAGUCUGACUCUAUAUAAAACAGGCUCUUUUCCAAAGAAGGCAGGAUCCACUCUGUGAAGGGAAAGAAGCCCUCCCAAGAAAUCCAAUUGUAUGGUUUCAUUUGUGUGAAUAAAGUUACAGGAAGGCCAAACUAAUCUACGGGAGAAAGAAAUCAGAAGAGGUUUUUUUUUGGGGGGGUGGGACUUCUUAGGAACGGGUCUGAGGGGACUUUCUGAAGUCAUCACCGUGUUCUGCAGCUUGAUGGGGGUUGAGUUGCACAGGUGUAUGCGCUUGUCAGAACUCAUCCCUGGCACACGAGAUCUGUGUGUUUCAUUGUGUGCAAACCUUAUCACACACACACACACAAAAUAACUGCAACAAGUAUUGACCUCUUGCUCAUGAUAUGAUGCUGACGUACUGGCCUAAAUGGGUACUGAUGUCUGCACCUCACUUUUUAAAAUUCUGUGUGAUAUUAAACUAUAGUUGAUUUCCAAUAUUGUGUUAGUUUCAAGCGUGCAGCUUCAGACUCUUUCCCAUCAUAGGUUGUUACAAGAUUUAUAAGAUAGUUCCCUGUGCAUCUAUUAAUCCCAGAUUCCUAAUUCAUCCCUCCCCUCCCCUUCCCCCUUCACUAACCAUGUAUUUGUUUUCUCUGUGUGUGAGUCUGUUUUGUAAUAGAGUUNNNNNNNNNNNNNNNNNNNNCCACAUAUAGUAUUUGCCUUUCUAUGCAUGACUUACUUCUCUUAGUACGUUAAUCUCUAGGUCCAUCCAUGUCACUGCAAAUGUCAAUAUUUCAUUCUUUUUAAUGACUGAGUGAUAUUUCAUUAUAUAUAUCAUGUAUAUGAUGCAUGUACGUAUAUCACACCUCCUUUACUCUUCAUCUGCUGAUGGACACUUAGGUCGCUUCCAUGUCUUGGCUAUUAUGAAUAGUGCUGCUGUGAACAGUGGGGUGAAUGUAUCUUUUCGAAUUUGAAUUUUUAUCUUUUUCAGAUAUUUGCUCAGGAGUGGGAUUGCUGUAUCAUAUGGUAACUCUAUUUUUAGGUUUUUUAAGGAAACUUCAGACUGUUUUCCAUAGCUGUUGGAACAAUUUCUAUUCCCUCCCACAGUGUAGGAGUGUUCCCUUUUCUGCACACUAUCUCCAGCAUCUAUUAUUUGUAGAUAUUUUGAUGGUGGUAGUUCUGACCGGUGUGAGCUGAUUGUAGUUUCAAUUU
Molecule: long non-coding RNA, 2154 nt
Filed under: Capra hircus (goat)
Lineage: Eukaryota; Metazoa; Chordata; Mammalia; Artiodactyla; Bovidae
Description: lncRNA (ENSCHIG00010024607.1)
Source: RNAcentral